GGAGCUGGAAAGGUGGAGGCGGAAGUGACUGAUCAAUUCAGGGGCGUGGGGUUCGUUUAGGUUUUGCCCUGUGUAUGACCUCGUUUGGAGCCAUGAAACCAGGAAGCUCUUCCACGAGUUCACGAAUGGAAAUAACAUCAAGAGUUUUUCAUCUUCUUAGUGUGCAAGGUAUGGAUAUUCUGUGUGUGAACUUCAAGAGUAUCUAAGGGAGGCAAUAACAUGGUUGAUAAUAUACCAGAGACUACAAACUGUCUGUGCAUCCCAGAGGAACAGGAAGCUUGUGCAGGUGAAAAGACUGGAGGAGGAAGUAUGUUGAUGAUACCCAGGAAGCCCACCUUCCACUUCUUUGGUCAUCAGAAAUAAAUAUCAAGGAGUGCAAUUCCUGGAUUUAUGAUGUCUGAGGAAUAGUCUUAGUGGAUUAUCCCAAACUUGACACAUUUUUUGCAAAAUGCUAUACAAAAAGAAGAUACAUGCGAUUAUGACAAGAUUCUCCACUUGGUGUGACCAGUCUCAUACAACCCAAGGCUGUGUGUCCAAAGGCAACUGUACUGAUCUUGACAAUAAUCAAAAGGUAGCCAGGUGCAUCGGGGAAAGCACUGACAUUGGAGUCAGAC
Molecule: long non-coding RNA, 614 nt
Filed under: Homo sapiens (human)
Lineage: Eukaryota; Metazoa; Chordata; Mammalia; Primates; Hominidae
Description: non-protein coding ZRANB2-AS2:50
Source: RNAcentral